This 250-nucleotide ribosomal RNA is filed under the name uncultured bacterium. Its description in RNAcentral is "partial 16S ribosomal RNA". It matches the Rfam family "Bacterial small subunit ribosomal RNA", at positions 524 to 773 of the family's 1533-position model. The record is from RNAcentral.
UACGUAGGGUGCGAGCGUUAAUCGGAAUUACUGGGCGUAAAGCGUGCGCAGGCGGUUUGUUAAGCCAGAUGUGAAAGCCCCGGGCUCAACCUGGGAACUGCGUUUGGUACUGGCAAGCUAGAGUGCGGCAGAGGGGGGUGGAAUUCCACGUGUAGCAGUGAAAUGCGUAGAGAUGUGGAGGAACACCGAUGGCGAAGGCAGCCCCCUGGGCCGACACUGACGCUCAGGCACGAAAGCGUGGGGAGCAAAC